CGCCUACAUGAAGCUGGAGUUGCUAGUAAUCGCGAAUCAGAAUGUCGCGGUGAAUACGUUCCCGGGCCUUGUACACACCGCCCGUCACACCAUGAGAGUUGGCAAUACCCAAAGUUCGUGAGCUAACCGCAAGGAGGCAGCGACCUAAGGUAGGGUCAGCGAUUGGGGUGAAGUCGUAACAAGGUAGCCGUAGGAGAACCUGCGGCUGGAUCACCUCCUUUCUA
This 224-nucleotide ribosomal RNA is filed under the name Clostridium butyricum. Its description in RNAcentral is "partial 16S ribosomal RNA". It matches the Rfam family "Bacterial small subunit ribosomal RNA", at positions 1313 to 1533 of the family's 1533-position model. The record is from RNAcentral. Lineage: Bacteria; Bacillati; Bacillota; Clostridia; Eubacteriales; Clostridiaceae.